This is a long non-coding RNA of Daphnia carinata, 880 nucleotides long. RefSeq lists it as uncharacterized. The record is from RefSeq and is a predicted model, not a curated record. NCBI's taxonomy places the organism in Eukaryota, Metazoa, Arthropoda, Branchiopoda, Diplostraca, Daphniidae. The transcript has 5 exons.
UCAAAUUAUGAAGCUGCAGGCCCAAUUAUUGGAACAACACAAAAUAUUAGGUAACAGCAAAGCUAAGGAUGCUCAAAUUUUGAGUCUACAAGCUCAGCUAGGGGAAAAGAACAAAUUGGAAUGGAACAGUUUCCAAAUAGUGAAGGAGGUUUUUCCAAACUCAUCCCUAACUGAACAUGAGGAUGAAUUGGCAUUAGGCGAACAGAGUCAGUUAUUCAGUCUACCACCUGACAGUGUGUGAAAGCUAAAUUCUGUUAGUGCUGCACUAAAAAAAUUGUUAGGAAUAAGUCCAUGCAGCGAAGGAAGUGAACAAUUGUGGGACCGUAUUUGGGCUGAAAAUGGGUGUUGUACGGAAACCCAGAAAUAGCACGAGUUCAACAUAAAACAUGAAUUAGAAUUUUAGUGGGGGAUCAAGUCAAGUCUGGAAGUGUUACAGGAUGGAAGAGUGAGCCUACAGUUGAAAAACACUGAAAGUGUAUUACCAUUAAGGUAUGAGGUAAGGUAAUAGAGUAUGCAAAUUGUCUAAUUAGAAGUACCAUCUUGUGUGAAUGAAUGCUGUGUAACAGCAAUCCGUUAUAGUUCUGUCACAGCUAGAAGCCUCAAAUAAUUCUGCUUCUCUUGCUAAAGAACAACUUGUCCUUUACGUUCAGAGUGUCGGUGAAGCUGGGUACUUAAAUGGCCCUAAAGAUGUUUUAAUUUUGCUGCCGUUGCAGAGAUGAACAUCAUACAUGGACUUUUUAGGAAAGGAUUUUCAGCAUACUGGGAACACAACUAUCAACAAUGCAACAUUCUAGGGGUGCUAUUUUAUCAUUCAAGAGCCUUAUACAAUGAUUUUCAUCUGCAAUUUGUAUGGCCUUUCCCAAGUUUCUGCCAGAAGUUG